CAGCAUUAAUCGUGAUAAACUUAACUCCGCCCGUGAAUUCGGCAGCUACGACCUUUAUUUGUCGGAAAAGGCGGGCUCUUAAGGCGCAAGACUCCUACCCUUCCUCUUCGUGGGCGCUGCACUAGGCGCCGUGACCAAUCACAGGCCACGUCGCGUCGCCGCAGCCAAUCGGGAGAGCCUGGGGCAUUAAGACGAGCACUUGACGGCUCCUCCCUCUCUGUUCCAGAUCCCUGAUGCGGAGCUGUUGGGAUGGUUGGCCUUAGAUACGUGACCCCAGAGGAGCUUGAAUGAGAGUGUUAAUACGUCGACUUAAUUCAAGGAACCCUUUUCUACAAGAGCUUUUGGCCCUAUAGGGGAAUUAAGAAAACAAGGCAAGCAGGAUUCCAAAAUUUCUAAGCCAGAUUGCUGCUUUUCCCUCUUUUUGUUUUCUUAGUCCAGAUUCCAGCCCAAAGGAAUUACAUUCUUGGAGAUGUUGGAAAAAGAGUCCUGGGACUUCAAAGAUAAUCACUCCAAAUAUACAGGGGAGUGGGAGGAGGGCAAACUGGAGAGACCUCAUCUUCUGGACUCUCACUUAGCAAGCCUUGGUUCCUUGAUGGCUGUAGGCUGAAGAUUUCAGUACUUCCACAGGAGAGCCUCUCCAUAGGCGUCUUGAGAAUUCCCACAAUGUGACAACUGUCUUUCCUCAGAGGGAAUGAUCCAAGAGAGAAAUGCCUAGUCAACAUGAAUGAAAUUGAAGGGUGUUUUUGUCAGAUUUAUCUGAUAAGGAAUUUGAACAUUUGUACAGUAAGAUACAGGUAAUCCUUACUUUGCACCAUGCCAUUAUACAUGAAGAUUAGUUUUCACACUUUACACCAAUCCUACAACGCACUUGAAAUUUCAGUUAUAAUAGUAACAACUGUUGCAUAAGCUUUGUUGCUAGCUCUUUAUUCUACAACCGAUUAGUAAAGAUGUGCAUCAUGGUCAGUAACCAGUUACAACACAUCUUUCAAAGUCUCUUGGUGAUUGAUCACUGAACAUCUCUUAGUUCACAGAGUAAAGCAUGUAGUUAUGUGGCUUACUUGUUUCCCAGUGAUAAACCCGUGCAACAUUUUACAAAACUGGAUAAUCAGAAGAGGGAAUUGACAGGGCAGCAAAGAAACAAUGGAACUGGAAGUGAAAUUGGACUUGAAAUGGCAACAGCAUAGUGAAAACGAGACAAACCCAGGCCUCCAUAAAGCUACAGCACAAACCACAUUUUAAAAGUUCGAUGAAUAUAAAAACAAAGUAAAGUUGCUUUCACCGUUUUUUUAAGUUUAUACUAGGAACAGAAAGCCACUUACGGUUGAAAUGGAGUGCUUGCUUUUACUUUGAAUGGAGGACUGUAAUAAAAAACAAAUCCUAAUCAGUUUAGCUAGCAUGCAGGCCAGAGUUUUGAGGUUAUUUGCUACAUUGAAGGAAAAUGAUAAUUACAAGGAGACAACACUUUUUGCCAGUAAAGGCUGGUUUCAUCGUUCACAAGUUGGGAGUGCUUGCAUGGCUCAGUUGGUUAAAGCAUCAUUUGGAAGUCGGCGUGAAUGGAUUAAUGUUUCACUGACUAGUGAAGCUGCAAGUUCAGAUAAGGAUGCUACUGGGAAAUUGGCACCCAUAUUCCAAGAAUCACAGGCAGUCCUUGCUUUGCACAGUAGUACGAGACUGCUGUGUGAAAGCUUCACAGGAUUUGGCUGGAAUGUAAACAUCGUUCUAGAAGAUACAGACGACUGUGGGAAUGUUGACACUGCUGCCAUUCAGGAAGUAGUUCUGGAUAAACAGCCAGAAGAAUUGAGUGAAGGUGAACAUAGUUAUACAUGAAGAAAGCAGUUGUGUGUUGUAAAGGAUGAAUACAUUUCAUAAGUGAUUCAGGUGAAAAACCACAUUAAAGGAACUCUCAGAUGUUUCAUGACAUUGCACAAAGAAUAAAAUGAGAAGCAGAUCUAAACUCAGAAAGGAGGAUGACAAUUUGCCAAGGUAUAGAAAAGAUGCUUGCUCUGUAUCGCAAGUUAUAUGAGAAAACAAGUAAUGUCCAAACUACUCUUGAGACUUGUUUAUGAAUAAAAUGCUAUCAUUUUCAAUAUUUCUACUGUUGUGAAUAUUUUACUUUUUUAUAUUUAUAACCAAAGUUAGGAGUUUUUGACAAAUUUCGAGGUUACAGAACAAUCAGAUUGUUAAUACCAUAGAUUAAGAUUGCUUUGCAUAGUUUCCACGUCCAUAGUCCAAGUGAUAACUCCCUGCAUUUAAAACACAGAACUCUUUAUAUUUAACCAGAUAUAAACAUAUCAAGUCUAGGAAUAUACUUUUCCCUUACCAGUUAUGAUAUUUUUCAUACUGCCUUUGUAUGCUAUUAUAACAAGGCUUUGAAAUAAAAAUUUGUGUAAUA
This is a long non-coding RNA of Hyaena hyaena (striped hyena), 2392 nucleotides long. RefSeq lists it as uncharacterized. NCBI's taxonomy places the organism in Eukaryota, Metazoa, Chordata, Mammalia, Carnivora, Hyaenidae. The transcript is spliced from 7 exons. The record is from RefSeq and is a predicted model, not a curated record.